CAGGCCUAACACAUGCAAGUCGAACGAGAUGCCUUCGGGUAUCUAGUGGCGAACGGGUGAGUAACACGUGAGGAACCUGCCCCGAAGACGGGGAUAACCGUGGGAAACUGCGGCUAAUACCCGAUACCCCCGAUGCGGCGCAUGCCGCGACGAGGAAAUGCUCCGGUGCUUCGGGAGGGCCUCGCGGCCUAUCAGCUAGUUGGUGAGGUAACGGCUCACCAAGGCUUCGACGGGUAGCUGGUCUGAGAGGACGAUCAGCCACACUGGGACUGAGACACGGCCCAGACUCCUGCGGGAGGCAGCAGUGGGGAAUCUUGCGCAAUGGGCGAAAGCCUGACGCAGCCACGCCGCGUGGGGGACGAAGGCCCUCGGGUUGUAAACCCCUUUCAGCAGGGACGAAAAUGACGGUACCUGCAGAAGAAGCUCCGGCCAACUACGUGCCAGCAGCCGCGGUAACACGUAGGGAGCGAGCGUUGUCCGGAUUUAUUGGGCGUAAAGGGCUCGUAGGCGGUUUGGUAAGUCAGGUGUGAAAGCUCAGGGCUCAACUCUGAGAAGCCAUCUGAUACUGCCAUGACUAGAGUUCGGUAGAGGAGCGUGGAAUUUCCGGUGUAGCGGUGAAAUGCUCAGAUAUCGGGAGGAACACCAGCAGCGAAGGCGGCGCUCUGGGCCGAAACUGACGCUGAGGAGCGAAAGCGUGGGGAGCAAACAGGAUUAGAUACCCUGAUAGUC
Molecule: ribosomal RNA, 729 nt
Filed under: uncultured bacterium
Lineage: Bacteria
Description: bacterial SSU rRNA
Rfam family: Bacterial small subunit ribosomal RNA
Source: RNAcentral